UACGUAGGUGGCAAGCGUUGUCCGGAUUUAUUGGGUUUAAAGGGUGCGUAGGCGGCCUAUUAAGUCAGUGCUGAAAUCCUCCGGCUCAACCGGAGAUGUGGCAUUGAUACUGAUGGGCUAGAGUACAGAUGAGGUAGGCGGAAUUGACGGUGUAGCGGUGAAAUGCUUAGAUAUCGUCAAGAACACCUAUAGCGAAGGCAGCUUACUAGGCUGUAACUGACGCUGAGGCACGAAAGUGUGGGGAUCAAACAGG
Molecule: ribosomal RNA, 253 nt
Filed under: uncultured bacterium
Lineage: Bacteria
Description: partial 16S ribosomal RNA
Rfam family: Bacterial small subunit ribosomal RNA
Source: RNAcentral